UAGGGAAUAUUGCAAAAUGGGCGAAAGCCCGAUGCAGCAACGCCGCGUGGGCGAUGAAGGCCUUCGGGUCGUAAAGCCCUUUUUGAGGGGAUGAGGAAGGACAGUACCCUCAGAAUAAGCCUCGGCUAACUACGUGCCAGCAGCCGCGGUAAAACGUAGGAGGCGAGCGUUAUCCGGAUUUACUGGGCGUAAAGCGCGUGCAGGCGGAUUGGAGAGUUGGAUGUGAAAGCUCCCGGCUUAACUGGGAGAGGUCGUUCAAUACUUCCAGUCUUGAGUGCAGUAGAGGGCAGUGGAAUUCCUGGUGUAGUGGUGAAAUGCGUAGAUAUCCGGAGGAACACCAGUGGCGAAAGCGGCUUCCUGGACUGUAACUGACGCUCAGACGCGAAAGCCAGGGUAGCAAACG
Molecule: ribosomal RNA, 403 nt
Filed under: uncultured bacterium
Lineage: Bacteria
Description: bacterial SSU rRNA
Rfam family: Bacterial small subunit ribosomal RNA
Source: RNAcentral